This 505-nucleotide ribosomal RNA is filed under the name uncultured bacterium. Its description in RNAcentral is "bacterial SSU rRNA". It matches the Rfam family "Bacterial small subunit ribosomal RNA", at positions 501 to 1008 of the family's 1533-position model. The record is from RNAcentral.
CUACGUGCCAGCAGCCGCGGUAAUACGGAAGGUCCAGGCGUUAUCCGGAUUUAUUGGGUUUAAAGGGAGCGUAGGCUGGAGAUUAAGUGUGUUGUGAAAUGUAGACGCUCAACGUCUGAAUUGCAGCGCAUACUGGUUUCCUUGAGUACGCACAACGUUGGCGGAAUUCGUCGUGUAGCGGUGAAAUGCUUAGAUAUGACGAAGAACUCCGAUUGCGAAGGCAGCUGACGGGAGCGCAACUGACGCUUAAGCUCGAAGGUGCGGGUAUCAAACAGGAUUAGAUACCCUGGUAGUCCGCACAGUAAACGAUGGAUGCCCGCUGUUGGUACCUGGUAUCAGCGGCUAAGCGAAAGCAUUAAGCAUCCCMCCUGGGGAGUACGCCGGCAACGGUGAAACUCAAAGGAAUUGACGGGGGCCCGCACAAGCGGAGGAACAUGUGGUUUAAUUCGAUGAUACGCGAGGAACCUUACCCGGGCUUGAAUUGCAGAGGAAGGAUUUAGAGAUA